This 389-nucleotide unclassified non-coding RNA is filed under the name Hevea brasiliensis (rubber tree). Lineage: Eukaryota; Viridiplantae; Streptophyta; Magnoliopsida; Malpighiales; Euphorbiaceae. The record is from RNAcentral.
GCGCAACACACUUAGAAUUGUAAGAGGUCCAACUUUUGACUAAGAACCAGAUUUUCAGUCUUGAGGUGUUCUAAUAGUUGGACCUGGGUUUCAGUAGUCAUUGGUGCCUUGGCUGCAGUGUUCCUUGAUUUUGGUCAUGAUUCAUGAAGAUAAAGUGUUAAUGGAAAAGGAAAACGAAAUGUAGGAAGAUUCGAUGAGUGUGAUUUACUGUAUUAUUGUUGCUCAUUGAUCUGAGCACAGUUAAAAUACAAUAGCUGGCUUGAGUUGUUCAAUUUUAAACUUGUACAAGCUUAGGUUAUUUCUAACUUACUGAAGUGACAAAGAUCAAAUUGUUUGUUAGUGAAUUUUACAUCUCAUUUCGACAAGGGUUAUUAAAAUGACAAUUUAAU